UGGAAGUUUCAGCCAGUGGACCAGUGGUGACUUUUGUUUGUGAAAAUUAAAGUGGUGACUUCCUGUGUAUACAGACUACACUUCCAAAAACAACGGACGAUUCCCUCCAAUUUGAAAAUAUAGGAAAACCUAUUCUUUCAUUGAUCGGGAUAUGAUUAACAGAAUCUGUCAUAUAGGUGUCCGCCUCCAGCACGUAUUUAUUCGUUCAUUGAACUGGAGGCACGCGAGAUUAAUAGAAUCGCACUUAUAGGACUUCGGCCAAUUUUUCGUCCUAGAUUACUGCUCUUCUUCCCCAGGUAUCUUUGUUUUUCACCCAGCAGACGCGAUUAACAGUGGAGUUAGGAUUGUGCUGUUAGAUUAUGCUUUAUCGUCAUUGUCAAUAUUUUAUGUUUAAUCCAUUUCCUCCUUCUCUUUCAGUGUAGGUUUCAAGAUCGUUGCAGAACUCAUUUUUCUCCUUCAAUUUCUUGUCUUUAUCACCAAAACAAUCUGCUUACCAGGUACAAAUUCAUGCCUUUAACUGUUGCGAUUUGAAAUUUGUGAAAGUACACUUUUUCUCUGCAAAUGCGAGUCGUUUGUUAUAUCUGGCUGCUGUUAAAUUGACGUGCGAUGAUUGGGUUUAUUCCCCCUCUAGUCCUUGACUGUUUUAUGAUUUUGUUCCUCUGUUUUCUGCUAUUCUUGUAAUUACUCAAAAAUUUUAUAAGUGUCGCCGAUACAUAUUGAUGUUUUUAAUGAAUCUACCACUAGUCGAGAUAUGAAUUCCUUUGUAUGUUUUGUUAUUCUUGUCAUUUUUCAAAAAUUUUAAGAGUCGUCGAUGCAUAUUGGUGUUUUCAUUGAACCUACCAUUAGUCGAGAUAUAUUCCUCUGUAUAUUUUAUGUUAUACUUCUCAAAAAUCUGCCAAUCAAAUGCAAAGGUGAUGAUUACAAUUGAUUUUGGGUUGAUGCUACUCGAAUAUGCUCAAUCAUCGCUGUCACAGUAUAGCUUUUUUUGUGUUUGCUAAGUCAUUUGUGAUAUCUCCCUACUUGUUGUCAUAUUGAUAGUCGAUUGAUUGAACUUAUUCUUCCUAUGUUACUCUAUUGUUGUUUGUUUGUUUGCUGCAUUUUUGUUGUUUACUCUGAUUGAUAUAUGUUUGUUAUAUCUGCUGCCUUUUUGUGUUUACAAUUUCUAUUUUCUUGUCUUUGAAUUGGUUCCUCUGUAUUUUUUCUAAGGCUACUGCUAGGAGGAACAAAGCUAAUAAUAUUUUGGGUUGUGGCCUCUCUAUUUUCUGCCUUUUUAAUAUUUCUUGAACCCUGCCCUUCCUACUCAUCUGAAUUAUUUUAGUCAGCGGACAUGAUUCUUUGUAAGAAUCUAUUUAUUCUAAAGCAAAACAAACAAAAGUAAUGUAGUGUCUUAUAAGAUGUAUAGUCAUAUGCUAAGGUAAUUACAUAGACCCUAUUACUAGAACCGAGCAAGGAAUACACAAUCCUGAUAGUGCAUUCUGAACUAAUUAAAGAAUGAUAAAGAAAUAUAAGAAUGUAGUAAGGUUCUUGAAUAAAAACUAGCACUAAGCAUGCCAUGAUGGCAUCUGUAUAACUCAUUGCCUUGUAACUCUAUCUUUCGUGCAUAAUGUAGAUCAUGAUCUGUCCCAUGGUGUGUCCACCCUGCUGCAUGUAUUGAAGGAAAAGGCAUAGAAGCAGAGCAUGUAUCAUGUAGGCACUCACUCAAGCAGUUAUUAGCAUAGCAUUUGUUGGUGUAGUACUUGGCCUCAAGUUUUGUAUAUAUUUUCUGCUUGUAAUCUUGAUGACUCGGCAGAUACAUGAAGGCAUGUCCCUAAUUGCAGAUGUAACUACAUGACCUGGAUAUUGUUUCCAAAACCAGCCUAUUGCCUGAUAAAGUAACAAAAAUUUUGUUGAAAUUUUGCAAUUCCUAUUCUUGUAGUCAUCUCUCCUAGGUAGUAUUUGAGCUCCAAUAUAUGCUUGAUCACUAUGUUUAUAACUAGCCUCUUUAGGUGAUUUGAUCCUUGGGACUAGUAUUGUGAAUCUGCAUUUGGCUAUUGUCCAGAAUUAACCAUCUCAUGCUGCAUAUAUGUGAAAGUACCUGGGAAGAAUGCAACAACGCCUCUAUCUGGACUCGAAAACUUCCUGUAUAUUGCUUUCAGCUUACUUUCUGUAGCACCCAAGUGAUAGCUAACCAAUUUCUUUGCAAACUCCUUGUUACACAAAAAGCUAAGUCAAUGAGACUAUAAUGAAAACUAAAUAAAACUAAAACGAGUUUUUGAGGAAAACUACAUGAAUUGAUCUUCUGAGUAGCUAGUAUGGUGCUGUAGAUUUUGAGUCCAUAAUGGAGUUUGUUCCAGUGAAUGUCAAAGCUGGAAUAAUUUUCCAACGAACCUUAUGCUUCACAAGUGUGUGUAUUGUGUUUUCGUACCUAUAAAGUGUGAACUGAUCUUCUGAGUUGCUAGUAUGGUGCUUCAGAGUUUGAGUCCAUAAUGGAGUUUGUUCCAGUGAAUGUCUUCAGUGAAUGUCAAAGCUGAUUAAGACAUUCGCUGGUGUUUCUGGUGACAUUCGCUUCAAAUCAAACAUUCGUUGAUUAAGAUAAUUUCUCUACAUGUGUUAUUAGCUUCCAAAAGUUUGUAAUUGAUUAAGACAUAUGUUGAAAUAUAGUUACUGUUGCAUAUAUCCAAACAUAAGUCAGGAACCGAAAUAUAGGUAAAAGUUUGUAACUGAUUAAGAGAUAUCUUGAAUGUUGACUUGAACCGAAAUGCAGGUGAACUAUGUUCCUUCUGAUGGAUAAACAAUGUUUUAACUUAAGUUGGAAUGACUUAUGCUCUUCAGAAGCUCCUUAAUCCUAGUUCUUUUAGAAGAAAAAUCAUAAAACCAAUCUAUACGGCCUGUGGAAUAGUGUUCCAAAUGUUACUUGUAUUUUUUUAAUAGGAUAUGUUACUUGCAUUUUUGUUGAGACCUCUUCUCCUCCAACAUUUUAGAAACUCUAUCAUUAAGUUAGGCAUUGACCAACUAGUUCCCAGGAUAUUUAGGAAAAGACUCCAGAUUUGAGUGGUGACUUUGCAGGAAAAAUAGAAGAUUAAAAUCCUCUAGUUGUUCCUUGCAUAAAGAGAAUCUACUGCAUAAAUGGAGACCUCUUCUCUGGAUAGCCAAUGACUCUGCCUCAUUGUUUGUUGUCUCAUGUAUUUCCUUCCCUCUUACAUAAUGUACAUCUCCUUCUUCAUCCAUCAACACAAAACCUAUGGAACUUCUUCCUGAUUUUCCUCGAUAUGUUCCAUCUUUAUUUACUUUUAUCCACCUUAUGCUAGGAAACUAC
This 3295-nucleotide long non-coding RNA is filed under the name Nicotiana benthamiana. RNAcentral describes it as "long non-coding RNA (NBEN_LNC039037)". The record is from RNAcentral. Lineage: Eukaryota; Viridiplantae; Streptophyta; Magnoliopsida; Solanales; Solanaceae.